CUAGCUAAGAUUUGAUUCCUUUCGAGAACAAUUCCAUUCAACAACUCCUGAAGGUACAUUAAUUUACUCUUUCACUUUUGUAAUAUCAUUCUCUCUUUCUGUUUUUAAUUGGAUGAAUUGUGAUGCAGGAAAGGACGGCGUUGAUCCAACUUCUUGCGGAAAGAAAGUAUCCUCUCGUGCUCUUUUUAGGAUCUGAAUCGAAAGCAUUAAAUUGAAAUGUUAAUGUUAAUUGAACUAAUGUUGUUUGAAAAUUGAACAGUAAGAUCAUUGAAGUGAGUGGCGCGGAGCUGCAGAGGCUGAGAGGCGAUGUGAAGAAGUUGCAGCUUCAAAACUGGAACCUCGCUCAGUCAAAUAGCCACAUGUUAGCGGAGCUUAACUUGGGGAGAGAAAGGAUAAAAACGCUGCAGCAUGAAAUUUUGUGGAGAGCUGCUUUGCUUAAAGGAAAGACCAUGGACGUGCAGGAAAAAGUGGAGAUUACAUAUGUGAGUGACACUGUUUAGUGAAAACUGGAACUGAAGAGAGUCAAGUAUAGAUUAAUGCAUCAAAAGUGGAGAUUGUUGUUCAUUUUGGAUGCUUACUGUGAUUUCCUUUCAACAUUUUCCCAAACUAAGAUAGUUUUGGAAAUGCAUGUACACUUGUGUUCCUUCCAAUGAGUAGCACUAUGUCAUAUAUAUAGUAGUCAAAGACUCUUAGUUCUAAGUAGUAAUUAGACACUGUAUAAGUGUAUAUGUUACCUAUUAGAGUGCCACUAUAAACAUGAUAAUAACAACAUUACUAAAUGUUGAAAAGUUUGAAUAAUGUAAUAAUAUUUUCCUUGGCAAACAUUGCAUGGAAAUAAGAUCUUAUUAAGUUAUUAGCAAUAAUUGGUAUAUGAUUGGUCAAUAGAGGAA
Molecule: non-coding RNA, 890 nt
Organism: Cajanus cajan (pigeon pea)
Lineage: Eukaryota; Viridiplantae; Streptophyta; Magnoliopsida; Fabales; Fabaceae
Source: RefSeq, a predicted model, not a curated record